RNAcentral lists this ribosomal RNA (768 nucleotides) under uncultured endophytic bacterium. Its description in RNAcentral is "bacterial SSU rRNA". It matches the Rfam family "Bacterial small subunit ribosomal RNA", at positions 8 to 790 of the family's 1533-position model. The record is from RNAcentral.
GGAGAGUUUGAUCAUGGCUCAGGGUGAACGCUGGCGGCGCGCUUAAUGCAUGCAAGUCGAGCGUGAUCGUGGCUUCGGCCACAAUGAUAAAGCGGCAGACGGCUGAGUAACGCGUGAGUAAUCUGCCCUCCGGUGGGGUAUAACCUCGGGAAACUGAGGAUAAUCCCGCAUACGACCUGCAUCCCUUGGGGUGCAGAUGAAAGGCUUCGGUCGCCGGAGGAGGAGCUCGCGUCCUAUCAGGUUGUUGGUGAGGUAAUGGCUCACCAAGCCGAUGACGGGUAGCUGGUCUGAGAGGAUGACCAGCCAGAGGGGGACUGAGAACGGCCCCCACUCCUACGGGAGGCAGCAGCAGGGAAUCUUGGGCAAUGGGCGAAAGCCUGACCCAGCGACGUCGCGUGGGGGACGAAGGCCUUCGGGUUGUAAACCCCUUUUCCGGGGGAAGAGAAAGGACGGUACCUCGGGAAUAAGCCCCGGCUAACUACGUGCCAGCAGCCGCGGUAAUACGUAGGGGGCAAGCGUUACCCGGAAUCACUGGGCGUAAAGUGCGCGUAGGCGGUUGGAUAAGUCUCUUGUGAAAGCUCCCGGCUCAACUGGGAGAGGUCAAGGGAUACUAUUUGACUAGAGGACAGCAGAGGUAAGCAGAAUUCCCGGUGUAGCGGUGGAAUGCGUAGAUAUCGGGAGGAACACCAGUGGCGAAAGCGGCUUACUGGGCUGUAGCUGACGCUGAGGCGCGAGAGCGUGGGGAGCAAACAGGAUUAGAUACCCUGG